AACUAACAAGGAUUCCCCUAGUAACUGCGAGUGAAGCGGGAAAAGCUCAAAUUUAAAAUCUGGCAGUCUUUGGCUGUCCGAGUUGUAAUCUAGAGAAGUAUUAUCCGCGCUGGACCGUGUACAAGUCUCCUGGAAUGGAGCGUCAUAGAGGGUGAGAAUCCCGUCUUUGACACGGACUGCCAGGGCUUUGUGAUGUGCUCUCAAAGAGUCGAGUUGUUUGGGAAUGCAGCUCAAAAUGGGUGGUAAAUUCCAUCUAAAGCUAAAUAUUGGCGAGAGACCGAUAGCGAACAAGUACCGUGAGGGAAAGAUGAAAAGAACUUUGGAAAGAGAGUUAAACAGUACGUGAAAUUGCUGAAAGGGAAACGCUUGAAGUCAGUCGCGUUGGCCAGGGAUCAACCUUGCUUUUUUGCUUGGCUUACUUUCUGGUUGAUGGGUCAGCAUCAAUUUUGACUGGUGGAAAAAGUUCAAGGGAAUGUGGCAUCUUCUGAUGUGUUAUAGCCUUUGUUCGCAUACAUCGGUUGGGAUUGAGGAACUCAGCACGCCGCAAGGCCGGGUUUUUAACCACGUACGUGCUUAGGAUGCUGGCAUAAUGGCUUUAAUCGACCCGUCUUGAAACACGGACCAAGGAGUCUAACAUGCCUGCGAGUGUUUGGGUGAAAAACUCGAGCGCGUAAUGAAAGUGAAAGUUGAGAUCCCUGUCAUGGGGAGCAUUGACGCCCGGAUCUGACCUUUUGUGACGAUUCUGCGGUAGAGCAUGUAUGUUGGGACCCGAAAGAUGGUGAACUAUGCCUGAAUAGGGUGAAGCCAGAGGAAACUCUGGUGGAGGCUCGUAGCGAUUCUGACGUGCAAAUCGAUCGUCAAAUUUGGGUAUAGGGGCGAAAGACUAAUCGAACCAUC
This 897-nucleotide ribosomal RNA is filed under the name Laccaria bicolor. RNAcentral's name for it is "partial large subunit ribosomal RNA". It matches the Rfam family "Eukaryotic large subunit ribosomal RNA", at positions 63 to 944 of the family's 3401-position model. Lineage: Eukaryota; Fungi; Basidiomycota; Agaricomycetes; Agaricales; Hydnangiaceae. The record is from RNAcentral.